AACGGCCGCGGUAUCUUGACCGUGCAAAGGUAGCAUAAUCAUUAGUCCUUUAAUAUGGGGCUGGCAUGAAGGGUUUAACGAGGAACUAGCUGUCUCAAUUUGAUUUAUUAAAAGUUAGCUUUUUAGUUAAAAGGCUAAAAUUUUGUUGGAAGACGAGAAGACCCUAUAGAGCUUUACAUUUACAUUUUGUAGGAUUAAUUUUGUUUUAUUUAUAUACUUCUUUAUUUAGGUGUUUUGUUGGGGUGACAUUAAAUAUAUAUUUAACUUUUAUUGUUCGGGAACCGUUUAUUUAUGAAUAUUUGAUCCAUUCUUAAUGAUCUUUAGAAUAAGUUACCUUAGGGAUAACAGCGUAAUCCCUUCUUGGAGUUCUUAUUUGCGGGGGGGCUUGCGACCUCGAUGUUGGAUUAAGAUGAUUAUUGGGCGUAGUAGCUUGAUUAAUGGGUCUGUUCGAC
RNAcentral lists this ribosomal RNA (452 nucleotides) under Polythore boliviana. RNAcentral describes it as "partial 16S ribosomal RNA". It matches the Rfam family "Bacterial large subunit ribosomal RNA", at positions 1926 to 2585 of the family's 2925-position model. The record is from RNAcentral. Lineage: Eukaryota; Metazoa; Arthropoda; Insecta; Odonata; Polythoridae.